This is a long non-coding RNA of Nerophis lumbriciformis (worm pipefish), 970 nucleotides long. RefSeq lists it as uncharacterized. The record is from RefSeq and is a predicted model, not a curated record. Lineage: Eukaryota; Metazoa; Chordata; Actinopteri; Syngnathiformes; Syngnathidae.
AACUACUCCGGUUUUCCCGUAAUUAGUACGGUUUUCAUCAACCUAUUCCGGGUUACGGUUGCAGUGAUAAAAAAUACGGUUUUUCAUUAAUUAAAAAAAAAAUUUUUUUUUUAAGUUUUAUUCACGAAAUCGCGUAACAACAAUGACAAUCGACACUGCUUCCCGUAACUUCCUAUCGAGCCAUUCCGAAUGCCAUGUGUAACACGGGUGGGAAAUAAGCCAUAUUUCCUCUCAUGACAUCUCAUAUUACCUGCACCGUUUCCACGUUUAAUCUCGCGAGUUUAACACACGCGCUCACGUGACCCGCUGCAGCCAAUCACGCUCUAUAAAAUCCAGCAUUCCGAGAUGGCUGCCAGGUGCGGUGGCUAAGCCUGGGGACAUAUGAAGCCGGUAUGUUUUAAAGUUGUCGUUUGCUUGCAUAUUGUAAAAACAACCGUCCAACAUUUUACAACUAAUUGUAAACUUGUAGGUGCCGAACAUCAGGGACGUGUUGCGACGAGAGAGUGUGUCGAUGAUAAGAUAUUAAGCCGAGUUGGCCAGGUCCCUAAGUCUUGGAUGGCGAGCUGUAGAUAGGCCUCGAGCCUGAGCCCAAGGAUCUCCACCUCUCAACCCCUGAACUCCACCUGCUCUGGUCGGGCCGGUAGGCGGCUUAUAGCCGAACCCCUUGCCUCGCACCUCAUUGCUCUGCGGCCCUUUGCACUACCUCAUACACACCCUGCCCAUACACUAAACUCUCACUACAAACUGCCAUACCCACAACCCCAAACCGUGUGGCUGUAUGAACUCUGAAUGCGCAUAUGGACUGCGAUCAGUCUCAUAUGACCUUUUAAGAACUUUUGAUACUACCUGUUAUGAAUUACCUGAACCAUUGCUGUUUUUUUCUUUUGUUUUGAAUGGCCAUUCCUAUCAAUGUAUGUCCACUAUUUGUUGCACUGUACAUAUUUAAAUAACACCAGUAUAAUUUAAAGCA